GAGUAUUGUUUCCUUUGGAAAAGGGCCACCAUUCCCCUUCAGGCUCCUGUGGCCAGGAGUGGCCCUGCAGCCACACCAAGCCCCCGAUCCCAGUUCCUGGGGCUUGGAUAAGGGACAGGAAGCAGUGCAGGAGCUGUCACUCCCAGCUCAGAGCACCUGCACUCACCCCAGUCGUUGCUACAGGCAGGACAGCAUUGUUCCAAGUCAGGACUUCAUUGGAGAGUCAUGAACUCCGUAGGAAUUCCUUGAAGAGCCUGUUGGAGUGCUGACCUGGAUUUGGGAGGAGCCAAGUAUCCUAGAGCUGUGAGGUUUUUCCUGUCAGAAAUCCAUUAUGGGGAUGUUUUCCCUGGCUGUGCCAAGUGGAAGGGACAGCUUUGGAGUUGUUGCAGCCACACAUUGGGGAUGCAUCCCCUGAAAAGCAGUUCAGGAUUGUUCAUCUGACUCUGCCCCUGACCUGUAGCUUCCAGGGACCCUCCUGGUAUCCUGAAUAUUCCCAGGAGAGGAUAUUCCACCACCUGCCUUUCGAGCCAGGAAUUCCAGACCCG
RNAcentral lists this long non-coding RNA (545 nucleotides) under Chloebia gouldiae (Gouldian finch). Its description in RNAcentral is "Erythrura gouldiae (Gouldian finch) lncRNA (ENSEGOG00005019348.1)". Lineage: Eukaryota; Metazoa; Chordata; Aves; Passeriformes; Passeridae. The record is from RNAcentral.